AAAAAAAAAUCGAAACAAAGCUCUGCGUGAAAAAUUAAGAGCGGCAAAACUCCCGCUUUUGUUUCACCCACCUCAUAUCAUUUCAGCCCCCACACACAUUUUUGUCCACACACACUCACCUCACUCACCUUCUAUAAUCACCGGUGUCUUCAAACUCAGCUCUUCGACGAUUGGGUAACUUUUGGGGACAACUGAAUCGAGUUCUCUCUCAAUCGAUUUCAUCGUUAUUAGGGUUUUGGUUUCAGGACUUCAAUUAAAUUAGGGAUCCACUCCAACAUGAAUGGCUUGAGUCGAAUUAGGGCUUUUCACUUCAAUUGGGGCUUCGAAUUCUUGGAUUGUGAUUUAAGAUAACAUCCCUGCUGUUGGUAUGGCAAUGGAGGGUGCGACUAUGUCAAAAAACCUGAAUUCUUACUGAAGUCUAUUCCAAAUAUUAGCAUAUUUGAUCCCAAAGUAAAGCUUCCAGUGAAGAAAUUCUAUGAAGGUUUCAUAUCUCUUCAGAAAUCCAGAAGUUUUGGACAUGGUUACAUUCAAGGUGCCACUUAUUCUUCAGCUGUUAGUGGAAGAGUGAAGAUAUUUUGUUUAUUGAAAGAAAAAUGAAGUGUUGUGCAAAGUUGUGAGUGACUAAAGUUGUGAGGCGAUAAACUGAUUUGGUAGCUGCUUUGAUUUGAUUCCAUUUGGUAGUUACUUUUGUUUGUAUCAAAGAAUAGUUUAUUGAGAUGUUUAACAUUUAAAGUGUAUAUUUUCAACUCCUUUCGGUAAAUAAUGUUGCUUUCGAUUAAUAAAAUGGGGCAGCUGCUGUAGUAAAAUGUUUGAAAGUUA
Long non-coding RNA from Daucus carota subsp. sativus, 819 nucleotides. RefSeq lists it as uncharacterized. The record is from RefSeq and is a predicted model, not a curated record. Lineage: Eukaryota; Viridiplantae; Streptophyta; Magnoliopsida; Apiales; Apiaceae. The transcript is spliced from 4 exons.